This 476-nucleotide ribosomal RNA is filed under the name uncultured organism. RNAcentral describes it as "partial 16S ribosomal RNA". It matches the Rfam family "Bacterial small subunit ribosomal RNA", at positions 333 to 800 of the family's 1533-position model. The record is from RNAcentral.
ACACUCCUACGGGAGGCAGCAGUGGGGAAUUUUGGACAAUGGGCGAAAGCCUGAUCCAGCAAUGCCGCGUGUGUGAAGAAGGCCUUCGGGUUGUAAAGCACUUUUGUCCGGAAAGAAAUCCUUGGCUCUAAUACAGUCGGGGGAUGACGGUACCGGAAGAAUAAGCACCGGCUAACUACGUGCCAGCAGCCGCGGUAAUACGUAGGGUGCGAGCGUUAAUCGGAAUUACUGGGCGUAACGCGUGCGCAGGCGGUUUGCUAAGACCGAUGUGAAAUCCCCGGGCUCAACCUGGGAACUGCAUUGGUGACUGGCAGGCUAGAGUAUGGCAGAGGGGGGUAGAAUUCCACGUGUAGCAGUGAAAUGCGUAGAGAUGUGGAGGAAUACCGAUGGCGAAGGCAGCCCCCUGGGCCAAUACUGACGCUCAUGCACGAAAGCGUGGGGAGCAAACAGGAUUAGAUACCCCUGUAGUCCCAUGA